Molecule: transfer RNA, 98 nt
Filed under: Pyricularia grisea
Lineage: Eukaryota; Fungi; Ascomycota; Sordariomycetes; Magnaporthales; Pyriculariaceae
Also listed under: 1 other name
Description: tRNA-Gln
Rfam family: tRNA
About the family: Transfer RNA (tRNA) molecules are approximately 80 nucleotides in length. Their secondary structure includes four short double-helical elements and three loops (D, anti-codon, and T loops). Further hydrogen bonds mediate the characteristic L-shaped molecular structure. tRNAs have two regions of fundamental functional importance: the anti-codon, which is responsible for specific mRNA codon recognition, and the 3' end, to which the tRNAs corresponding amino acid is attached (by aminoacyl-tRNA synthetases). tRNAs cope with the degeneracy of the genetic code in two manners: having more than one tRNA (with a specific anti-codon) for a particular amino acid; and 'wobble' base-pairing, i.e. permitting non-standard base-pairing at the 3rd anti-codon position.
Source: RNAcentral
GGUUCUAUGGUGUAAUGGUUAGCACAUGAGGUUCUGAGAUCCAUCUGGUUCUCCAGUUCUCAUUCCUCAUGAUCCCGGUUCGAUUCCGGGUAGGACCU